UGGGGAAUAUUGCACAAUGGGCGCAAGCCUGAUGCAGCCAUGCCGCGUGUAUGAAGAAGGCCUUCGGGUUGUAAAGUACUUUCAGCGGGGAGGAAGGCGAUGUGGUUAAUAACCGCGUCGAUUGACGUUACCCGCAGAAGAAGCACCGGCUAACUCCGUGCCAGCAGCCGCGGUAAUACGGAGGGUGCAAGCGUUAAUCGGAAUUACUGGGCGUAAAGCGCACGCAGGCGGUCUGUCAAGUCGGAUGUGAAAUCCCCGGGCUCAACCUGGGAACUGCAUCCGAAACUGGCAGGCUUGAGUCUCGUAGAGGGGGGUAGAAUUCCAGGUGUAGCGGUGAAAUGCGUAGAGAUCUGGAGGAAUACCGGUGGCGAAGGCGGCCCCCUGGACGAAGACUGACGCUCAGGCACGAGAGUGCGGGGAUCAAACA
RNAcentral lists this ribosomal RNA (427 nucleotides) under uncultured bacterium. RNAcentral's name for it is "partial 16S ribosomal RNA". It matches the Rfam family "Bacterial small subunit ribosomal RNA", at positions 355 to 774 of the family's 1533-position model. The record is from RNAcentral.